ACCAUGUAGUGUAUUCAUGAAUAGCUACUAGAUGGCGCUAUCCCUAGCAAAGCAGACGACUAUUCGGAAGGAAAAAGUAAAAAUUAAAAUGGUGAACGUGAAGAACAGAAGUGGUCAAGUAAUGCUGCUGUAAUCCUUUUAACUGUAAAUGUAAGGGUGAAUCUAUAAUCUAUCACGACGGUUCGCAAGUAAAAGUCCCCCCGUGUACCAUUAUUUGCGCAUUAUUUCCCAUUAUUUCCUAUUUCAUAUGAAUUUGGUUCAAGGUCACAAGGAACAUGUAAAAGUGUAGAGGUUGGGUAAGAAAGAAAGUUUUACAUCAUUAUCAAGUUGGUAGAAUUCAUUCGGUUCAAGGUUACAAGGAACAUUUCGUAAAAGUGUAGAGGUUGGGUGAGAAAGAAACGUGUGGCAUCAUUAUCAAGUAGGUAGAAUUGCCGCAAAACUGAAGAGUUGAGUUAGGGUGAGAAAAAGUCGUAUAAAAGGAGAGAGAAAAAGUGAGAGACCACCAGUCAGCAGAGCAUCUCCGACACGGUAAUAACUGUUGUGCAUUGUUUGUCAUCAACAACAUUCUUCGUCGUUAUACCAGCUCGCAACCAUGGGGCCAUGAUUCAGUCGAUGGCCGGCCGACGACAGCGCCUUCCGACCCGAAUCUCUUCCAGCUGCUGCCAGCCCACCGGUGAAUAUUUCGAUGAGGAGUACGACGUUGGUGGAUGAGACGCCUCGCAACGAUCGCUAAUGUCCCGAAGUUAUCUAUGGCGUCGUGCUGCUUUUGGAUGUUGUAUCGUUGGUGAUUAGGGUGAUGGUGAUGGUUAGGUCGAACAUUGGUGUACCAAUGUCCCCUGGGUAUGGCGGAUAGCAAGUCGCAAUGCCCCCGUUUUACUACACAACAUCAGCAACAAAAUACGCAACGACCAGUUGGUACAACGACGUCCCCAAGUACUACAGCGAAAGGCCGAGUCGCGUUUGCUGCCCCAGUUUACUACACCGAGGAACCCAAGUAUUAAUCUGCUCCAAACUACUACCAAACAGAGGCUCCUGUUUACUACACCACCAACGCCCCUGAGUAUUACUCGAGUAAUUACGCUGCCCCCGACUACUACACUGAAGCUCCAAAGUACUACACCAUCAG
This is a long non-coding RNA of Daphnia pulicaria, 1126 nucleotides long. RefSeq lists it as uncharacterized. The transcript is spliced from 3 exons. NCBI's taxonomy places the organism in Eukaryota, Metazoa, Arthropoda, Branchiopoda, Diplostraca, Daphniidae. The record is from RefSeq and is a predicted model, not a curated record.